UACGAAGGGGACUAGCGUUGUUCGGAAUCACUGGGCGUAAAGCGCACGUAGGCGGAUAUGCCAGUCAGGGGUGAAAUCCCGGGGCUCAACCUCGGGACUGCCUUUGAUACAGCAUGUCUUGAGUCCGAUAGAGGUGGGUGGAAUUCCUAGUGUAGAGGUGAAAUUCGUAGAUAUUAGGAAGAACACCAGUGGCGAAGGCGGCCCACUGGAUCGGUACUGACGCUGAGGUGCGAAAGCGUGGGGAGCAAACAGG
RNAcentral lists this ribosomal RNA (253 nucleotides) under uncultured bacterium. Its description in RNAcentral is "partial 16S ribosomal RNA". It matches the Rfam family "Bacterial small subunit ribosomal RNA", at positions 524 to 776 of the family's 1533-position model. The record is from RNAcentral.